RNAcentral lists this ribosomal RNA (207 nucleotides) under uncultured bacterium. RNAcentral's name for it is "partial 16S ribosomal RNA". It matches the Rfam family "Bacterial small subunit ribosomal RNA", at positions 568 to 774 of the family's 1533-position model. The record is from RNAcentral.
CGCGCAGGCGGUCGUUCAAGUCGCGUGUGAAAGCCCCCGGCUCAACUGGGGAGGGUCACGCGAUACUGAUCGACUCGAAGGCAGGAGAGGGUAGUGGAAUUCCCGGUGUAGUGGUGAAAUGCGUAGAUAUCGGGGGGAACACCAGUGGCGAAGGCGACUACCUGGCCUGUUUCUUGACGCUGAGGCGCGAAAGCUAGGGAGCAAACG